Molecule: long non-coding RNA, 4511 nt
Filed under: Theobroma cacao (cacao)
Lineage: Eukaryota; Viridiplantae; Streptophyta; Magnoliopsida; Malvales; Malvaceae
Description: long non-coding RNA (TCAC_LNC001729)
Source: RNAcentral
GAGAAGUAAGAAAAAGGAAGAACAAAACCGUAGGUGGAAAAAUUCAAGGGAAAUUUGUGAAAAUUCAAGAAAACAAGUGAAAAAAGGUAAGAUUUUUCAAUUUAAGCUUGAGAUCUCUCUUUCUUAAGCAUUUUUUCUUAUUUUCCAUGGUUGAAUCACAUGCAAUCAUGAUGAAUCCCUUGCUGGCCAAACACUUAGAGGGAGGUUUUGAUGCUUGAUUUGGUUAGAUUUCAAUGUAUUUUAGUGUUUUUAGUUAGUUAGUGAUGUGUAGCAUGAAAAGCCAACAAGAAAAAUUCACUUCCUCCCAUCACCCAUCAUUGGUCGAAUCUUCCAUGUAGAGUGUGUAUGGUGGAUUUGAUUUUAUUUCAAGUGAAUUGGUUAAGAAAUGAUGAAUUACGGUGAUAAAAUCAAGUAGGAAAAAUCAUAGUGUGGAUGCACCCACCAUGGCCGAAAUUCCCAAGAGAAAAUGUGAAGAUGAUUUUGCUAAAUUUUAUGCUAUUUGACUUGUGUUUGAUGGUUUGGGGGAUUAGAAGAAAAAUGGAGUUAAUUGGAGUUGAAUUGGACAUAUUGGCCAAUUAAUCGAGUGAUAGAUCGAAUUAGGUCAAUACUGUUUUAUUUAGAUACACAAUUGAAUUGUGUAGAACACCGUGUUUAGACGAUAAUCUGAACAACUUGCAUUCCAUUUCAUGCAUCCAUAUAGUUUUAUAACGGUUUAGCACCAAUGUGGCAAAUUACUUGAUUGUGCAUUAUGUUUAGGUGGUGAAUCCUCUGAUAAGGGCAAAGAAAUUGUACCCGAGGAUCGAUAGUCGGAGUACUCUAAAAAUUCGACUCCUGAAAUAGUGAGUAACCUUAUUAUCAUUUUAAUUAUCUAAAGUGGUCUUUUUAUUUGAUUUUGUGAAUUUUAUGGAAAAUGAGUUUAAAUGGUUAAUUUUUAGGUUUUAUAAACAAAAUGUGUUUAAAUGAAAUGAUUUUAUAAAUUAUCUUGAAAUUGAAUGAUGGCUUUGAAAAUAGAGUAAUUGGAGACCAUUUGAUGUAUUGUGAAUUUAUGGUUCUAAUUGAUUGGCUUAUGGCAAUAUUGGCAUGAAUGGCGGAAUUGGUAAAUGUGCUGAAAAUGUGUGAACUGUUGAUUUGCCUUGAGAGGUUGUAAAAUCAAAUAAUUACCAUGUCAUGCUAUAGCAAAUUUUAUUGUAUGGUGGGUUUAGGUUGCUGCAGUGGGCGGGUUCUGUGGACCAGCCUAUUGAGGGGCAUGAAAUCUGGUUAUAUACGUACCUCGGUCAGAGAGGCGCGCAGGGUAUCUCCUGAGGUAUGGUUAGUGUCACGACUCGGAACUCCCAUCGAGCCCAUGACAACCGCCGCGAAGCCUCGACAGACAUUCUUCCCCUGAAUGCCUUUUGAGACCUCGCAAGGCUUUUGUACCAGUUUUUUCAUUCCUCUCUCUUUCUUCUUUUUUUUUUGAAUAAUAAAAUAAAAUAAAAAUAUUAAUUAAAAUAAUCUAUUUUAAUGUAAAACAAUAUAUAUAUAUAUAUAUGAAAUAUCAAAAAUUAAUUUUCUGCACAUAAAAACAAAAUAAAUUUAUACAUACUGUAAUAUAGAAAACUGGAGUAUGCAAUUUAAAUUACAAUGACACGUGGGCCCCCAAAUAACUGAGAAGGUUUAAGUCUAUAACCUUGCUUUCUAGGAUGCAACUCCGAAAUUUACUUCUCGAUGCAAUUGAUAGUCUACUGCUUAUUCUGAGCCUGAAAAAUGUAUAGGAAGAAGGGGUGAGAUUAUAAAAUCCCAGUGAGUAGACAGACAUCAUCAAAAUAAUCUAAAGCCGAGUAAUAGGAGACAAUUAAAAUAAUUCAUCUUAACCCAUAUAAAUAAUUGGAUUUCAUCUAAUUACUCAACAUGGCUUAUGCACUUUUCAAAAACUUGGCCCUUGCCAAAAAUCCAUUCUCGGGGAUACCCCGCGAAGGCAUCUUACCGAGACCGCCAAGGCUGUUUAUUGUCACACACACAAACACAUUUCACCUCUGACAACACAGCCGUUCCUUGGCGUUGGCUGAGUCCCACUUUCACGUGGUGGCCAGCGUGAAGUGUACUCAAAUCCUACCUCGAGAGUUAUCCUACGCGCCUCUCCAAUCGAGGUAAGCUCAAUAAUUGGGAACCGUGCCCCUCUAAUUAGGCUGGCCCACGGAACCCCCGUCACUGCAGUGCCCACUUUAUAAUCCACCAACCAAUAAAAUCACAAUAGUAUGACAUGGCUCACUUAACACAUUCAAGGCAAAUCAAAGCAGUUCACAUAUUCUUUAAAUCAUAAAAAUAACCAGUCAUACCCACAUUUAUCAUAAGCCAUUUAAUGUAAAAUCAUGGAUAAACAACACAAUCAUAGUAUAGGUCUCCAAUUACUCUAUUUUUGAAAUCAUUAUUAAAUUUUCAAAAAUUUUAUAAAAUUAUUUUAUAAAAUCCCAUUUUCCCAUAAAACACAAUAAUUUUCCAAUUAAACCAUUUUUCCAUAAAAUCACACAAUUAAAUAAAUCUACUCUAGAUAAUUAAGACGAUAGUAAGUUUACUCACUGUACUAGGAGUAGAUAUACUCCUAUUCUCGGUCCUCGGGUGUAGUCUUUUACCCGUAUCAGAUAGCUCACCACCUAUCCACAAUACAUGACACAAAAAAUUUAAUAAUUUGUGUCAAAUCAAUAUAUAUUAUUUCAGGCUCUUAUCCAUGCGUAUGCACUAGAUAGGGUGUGAAAUGUUUGGACAUUUGCUUAAUCACAGUGUCCAACCUAACUUGCCUAUAUACGGUGUAAAUUUCUAAAAUCUCCAAUUCAACUCCAAUUCCAUCCAUUUCAAUUUCAAUUAUCCAAUUAUAUCCACAAUACCUCAAUGACUGUGAAUGUGGUCCAAUUUAUCAGUUCGGAUCACAAAUUACGCUUUUACCCCUAGUGGGUAAAAAUUUCAAUUUUUUUGCACCAAAAAUUCCCAUUUAAUUUCCAACCUCAUAAUUCAUCAUUUUUCCAUCUAAUUCUCUUAAAAUAAAGUCAACCUCAUCCUCACACACCAUUGGCUAGAUUCGGCCUAGAGAAAUUCAUGGAGAAAAUGAAUAUUUUUCUUGUUGUUUUACUCAUAAACAUGCUAAACUAACACUAAACACUAACAUAGUUCAAAAUCAAAUUAAUCUAACAACUUUCUCUCUCUAAACCCAUAUGAUCAGAUUUGAAUCCAUCAUCAAAACACAUAAUUUAACCAUGGAAAAUAAGGAGAAAUGCAUGGGGAAAUGUUAAAUCUUAAGCUAAGCUUGAAAUCAUACCUUUAAACACUUGAUUCCUUGAAAAAUCACACUUUUUCUUUGAAUUUUCUCACUCUAGGGGUUUUUUCUCUUAUUUCUCUCUCUCUCCUGCUGGUUUUGGCUGACCCUCCCAAUGAAUAAUUCUGGAAUUUUCAAGCCUUUUAAUAGGCUUAAUAAAAUAUUAUUAUUUUAUUUAUCUUUUGAAUAUUUUAUUAUUUUAUUUUUUUCUAGCCAUUUUUUUGACUUUCUUUUUCUACCACUCAAUCCUCUUCACUUAUCCAUGUCUUCCAUGAAAUUUCUAGACUUUUCCAAAGUUUUGGUGGAGUAAAUUUUUAAAAAUUACACUUUUACCCCUGUAAAGUGAAAAAUUACAUUUUUACCCCAAAAACUGAAAAAUUGCCCAUAGACAUAUUUUUCAUCCCUUAUACUAAUACCAUUCUCCAAUUUGUCAAAUGUGAUCUAAAUUCUCUCAAUCUCAAAUUUUAUCUGCGAGUGAAAAAAUUACGAUUUUGCCCCUAGAUAGUGAAAAUUUCGAUUUGACUCCGAAUUGAUCCUCGAACUCCGAAUUACCAUUUUGAGUCAUCCCUGAACUGUGAAACUCUUAAUUUCACCUUAAAAGUCCUAUUUGAACUAGUUCGAGGCUUAAUCGACUUAAUGGUACCAUUAGGGGCAAUAUCGUCUUUUAACGAUUUUUCGAACUUCCUAAAUAUACAAACAUUCUAUCGAGCAUGUGAAUGACAUUAUAAUUAUUUUACAAAGCAGGGUUUGACAGUUAGAGUUCACGUCACGCCGAACCACCUCGUGAUGAUGAACUCAGCUAACACCAAGCAACGACUGUGUUUGUCAAACUAAAAAUAUGUUUACGUGUAUACGAAAUUUUUAAUAGCCUUGGCAGCCUCAGUUAGAUGCCUCGGCCAAGGUAUUCUCAAGAAUGAUUUUGGCAGGAGCCAAGCUUUUAAGAUACUCAUAAGCCAUGUUGAUUAUUUAAAUGAAAUGAAUAUUUAUGUUAUGAAAUACAUAUUGAGAUGGAAUAUUUUAAUCGUCUCAAUUUACUCGACUUUAGAUAUUUUGGAUGAUGUUUGUUUACUCAUUGGGAUUAUAUAAUCUAACCACCCUCCUUUCCACCCAUUUCAGGCUCAGGAUAGUUUGUAAAUAGCUGACAUCGUCGAAGGUUACAAUUGGCUUCACUUCCUCAAAAAUCGUAGGUUCACAGCCUUCGUUCACUUUUGUCAUUUAGGGGCCC